GGCAAGGUGAGAGCACGGAAUUCGUGAUCAGGCUGCCGGCGGUCCGACCGAUGUGAAGGGGCGUGCGCAUGAGCCGUGAUCCACGCUUUGGCGCGUGGCGACACCCAAGGCCUCGGUCCCGCCCGGCGCGGCAGCCUUCGCUGACCAGGAUUGCACAUGAACUCCCUCCACCGCACCCUCCUCUUGUGUAGCCUGCUCCUGCUCCUUCCCGGGAGACUCCUUGCCGAGGACCUUGCACUCGGCAUGUCAGCCGCAUUUACCGGGCCAUCCGGGGGCCUGGGAAUUGAGCUGUACCGGGGUGCCAUGGCCUAUCUGGA
Molecule: unclassified non-coding RNA, 317 nt
Filed under: uncultured Ascomycota
Lineage: Eukaryota; Fungi; Ascomycota
Description: sequence contains ITS1
Source: RNAcentral